Non-coding RNA from Castor canadensis (American beaver), 653 nucleotides. Lineage: Eukaryota; Metazoa; Chordata; Mammalia; Rodentia; Castoridae. The record is from RefSeq and is a predicted model, not a curated record.
UGCCUCAGUCUCCUGAGUAGCUCGGGUUGCUGGUGUGCUGCACCAUUCUCAAGAGACUGGCAGUUUUCAUCUAAAAUCAAUGAAAUGGACACAUUUGGUCCCAGAGAGGAUGAUGAAAUCCAGUUUGAUGAUGUUGGAGAUGAUGAUGAAGACAUUGAUGAUAUCUAAGCUGAACCCAAUGUGUUAUAUCCCGAGUAUUCUCAGGGUCGUUCUACAUUCGGGAUCUUGGUCGUCAGCUGUUAAGAGUAAGACUUCAUUUAGCUUGCCAAGGAAAGCAGAUUGGUUUGUUUGCAUUUUAAAAAGUAUUUGUUAUAUUUCUUUGAAGACUGAAGAUGUUGUGUUAACUGACAUGUGAAAACGUAGAUGUAAUGCUACCAUGUGCACUGAUAAACCAAUACUUCAUUUCUAGUAAACGAAUGCCAUCACUCAGUUGUUUCCCUUGUGACCAGAGUGGAUUUUAGCCGCUUUCAGAACCGUUAUGUUCUAAUUAUCUGGACGUUCUCUGGAGACUUUUUAAAUCUAAUUUAUAAAUUUUUAGAAUUCAUCAACAUAAAUCUGCAUUUGGAGUUGAAGAAUAUCGAUCUGUUUUUGAAAUGCAUGUACCCAUGUGUAUUCUUAAAACUUCGAUAUUUUAUACAUUCUUGUUUGUCAUU